AGAAAAGGAGGGUGGUAUGGCAAGACACUUGGUAUGAUGAGAGAGUUCCGUGAAUGCCUAAUGGAUUGUGGUCUCGACGAUUUAGGCUAUACAUGUGACCUUUUCACUUGGAGUAGAGGCGAAAUUCGUGAGCGUCUUGAUCAGGCGGCCUGUAAUUUAGCAUGGGCAAAUAAAUUCCCACGAGCGGGAGUGAUCAACGACGAACAUGUUCAUUCUGACCAUCGUCCAAUCGUACUAGAUACAGGUUUUUUGGAUAAAAAAAUUUCAAACGACCAGAGGGACGUGCUAAACAAUUUGAGGCAAGGUGAUUGA
RNAcentral lists this ribosomal RNA (312 nucleotides) under Triticum aestivum (bread wheat). Its description in RNAcentral is "partial small subunit ribosomal RNA". The record is from RNAcentral. Lineage: Eukaryota; Viridiplantae; Streptophyta; Magnoliopsida; Poales; Poaceae.